Molecule: transfer RNA, 81 nt
Filed under: Candidatus Pacearchaeota archaeon
Lineage: Archaea; Nanobdellati
Description: tRNA-Ser
Rfam family: tRNA
About the family: Transfer RNA (tRNA) molecules are approximately 80 nucleotides in length. Their secondary structure includes four short double-helical elements and three loops (D, anti-codon, and T loops).
Source: RNAcentral
GCCUUGGUCGCAUAAUGGUAUUGCACCGGAUUGCUAAUCCGGACCCUUCGGGGUGCGUAGGUUCGAUUCCUGCCCGAGGCG